Molecule: ribosomal RNA, 404 nt
Filed under: uncultured Rhodobacter sp.
Lineage: Bacteria; Pseudomonadati; Pseudomonadota; Alphaproteobacteria; Rhodobacterales
Description: bacterial SSU rRNA
Rfam family: Bacterial small subunit ribosomal RNA
Source: RNAcentral
UGGGGAAUCUUAGACAAUGGGGGAAACCCUGAUCUAGCCAUGCCGCGUGAGCGAUGAAGGCCUUAGGGUUGUAAAGCUCUUUCAGUGGGGAAGAUAAUGACGGUACCCACAGAAGAAGCCCCGGCUAACUCCGUGCCAGCAGCCGCGGUAAUACGGAGGGGGCUAGCGUUGUUCGGAAUUACUGGGCGUAAAGCGCACGUAGGCGGAUUGGAAAGUCAGAGGUGAAAUCCCAGGGCUCAACCUUGGAACUGCCUUUGAAACUCCCAGUCUUGAGGUCGAGAGAGGUGAGUGGAAUUCCGAGUGUAGAGGUGAAAUUCGUAGAUAUUCGGAGGAACACCAGUGGCGAAGGCGGCUCACUGGCUCGAUACUGACGCUGAGGUGCGAAAGCGUGGGGAGCAAACAGG